UACGGGGGGGGCAAGCGUUGUUCGGAAUUACUGGGCGUAAAGGGCUCGUAGGCGGCCAACUAAGUCAGACGUGAAAUCCCCAGGCUCAACCUGGGAACUGCGUCUGAUACUGGAAGGCUUGAAUCCGGGAGAGGGAUGCAGAAUUCCAGGUGUAGCGGUGAAAUGCGUAGAUAUCUGGAGGAAUACCGGUGGCGAAGGCGGCAUCCUGGACCGGCAUUGACGCUGAGGAGCGAAAGCCAGGGGAGCAAACGGG
This 253-nucleotide ribosomal RNA is filed under the name uncultured bacterium. Its description in RNAcentral is "partial 16S ribosomal RNA". It matches the Rfam family "Bacterial small subunit ribosomal RNA", at positions 524 to 776 of the family's 1533-position model. The record is from RNAcentral.